Molecule: ribosomal RNA, 374 nt
Filed under: uncultured fungus
Lineage: Eukaryota; Fungi
Description: partial small subunit ribosomal RNA
Rfam family: Eukaryotic small subunit ribosomal RNA
Source: RNAcentral
GCUUGUCUCAAAGAUUAAGCCAUGCAUGUCUAAGUAUAAGCCUUUAUAUGGUGAGACUGCGAAUGGCUCAUUAAAUCAGAAACUGUUUAUUUGAUAGUGCCUACUACAUGGAUACCUGUAGUAAUUCUAGAGCUAAUACAUGACUAAAAGGGCUAGCCCUGCAUUUAUUAGAUACAACCAACCCUUCGGGUUUUGGCGAAUCAUAAUAACUGAGCGGACCGUAUUCGUACGGCGUUUCUUAUUAAUUUCUGCCCUAUCAGCUUUCGAUGGUAGGGUAUUGGCCUACCAUGGCGUUAACGGGUAACGGAGAAUUAGGGUUCGAUUCCGGAGAGGGAGCCUGAGAGAUGGCUACCACAUCCAAGGAAGGCAGCAGG